RNAcentral lists this ribosomal RNA (877 nucleotides) under Paraconiothyrium nelloi. RNAcentral describes it as "eukaryotic LSU rRNA". It matches the Rfam family "Eukaryotic large subunit ribosomal RNA", at positions 38 to 938 of the family's 3401-position model. The record is from RNAcentral. Lineage: Eukaryota; Fungi; Ascomycota; Dothideomycetes; Pleosporales; Didymosphaeriaceae.
GCAUAUCAUAAGCGAGGAAAAGAAACCAACAGGGAUUGCCCUAGUAACGGCGAGUGAAGCGGCAACAGCUCAAAUUUGAAAUCUGGCUCCUUUGGGGUCCGAGUUGUAAUUUGCAGAGGGUGCUUUGGCAUCGGCGGCGGUCUAAGUUCCUUGGAACAGGACAUCGCAGAGGGUGAGAAUCCCGUACGUGGGCGCCUGCCUUUGCCGUGUAAAGCCCCUUCGACGAGUCGAGUUGUUUGGGAAUGCAGCUCUAAAUGGGAGGUAAAUUUCUUCUAAAGCUAAAUACCGGCCAGAGACCGAUAGCGCACAAGUAGAGUGAUCGAAAGAUGAAAAGUACUUUGGAAAGAGAGUCAAAUAGCACGUGAAAUUGUUGAAAGGGAAGCGCUUGCAGCCAGACUUGCCCGCAGUUGCUCACCCAGGCUCCGGCCUGGGGCACUCUUCGGCGGGCAGGCCAGCAUCAGUUUGGGCGGUUGGAUAAAGGCCUCUGUCACGUAUCUCCCUUCGGGGUGACCUUAUAGGGGAGGCGCAAUGCAACCAGCCCGGACUGAGGUCCGCGCAUCUGCUAGGAUGCUGGCGUAAUGGCUGUAAGCGGCCCGUCUUGAAACACGGACCAAGGAGUCUAACAUCUAUGCGAGUGUUUGGGUGUCAAGCCCGGGCGCGUAAUGAAAGUGAACGGAGGUGGGAACCCUUUGGGUGCACCAUCGACCGAUCCUGAUGUCUUCGGAUGGAUUUGAGUAAGAGCAUAGCUGUUGGGACCCGAAAGAUGGUGAACUAUGCUUGAAUAGGGUGAAGCCAGAGGAAACUCUGGUGGWKKCUCGCAGCGGUUCUGACGUGCAAAUCGAUCGUCAAAUUUGGCAUAGGGCGAAAGACUAAUCGA